Molecule: long non-coding RNA, 991 nt
Filed under: Gallus gallus (chicken)
Lineage: Eukaryota; Metazoa; Chordata; Aves; Galliformes; Phasianidae
Description: long non-coding RNA NONGGAT001373
Source: RNAcentral
CAGCAGUGUAUUUUCAGCUAUAGAAACAACAGCUCCAUUCACUGCAUGCAAAAGGAAAACAAUCUUAAAGAAGGGCAAAUACACAAAGGGACUCUUCAGCCUUUCCUCCUUUCCAUGCAAGUUUUGAUUUUCUCCUCUCCAUGACCACACCAGCACUUUGUCAUCACUAACCCUGGGGUGUCUCAGGAGAUCGAGCCUGUUGCCCUUCUCUACUCUGGUCGCUGUCCUGAGAUGCUGGAGGAGUGAUAUGCACAGAUUGGGAGUGUGGUGUGCUAGGUGGAGGAGGUCAUGCACACCAUCACAGUCAGCAGUGGACUUCCCAGCAGCACCAACAGAGGCACAUGGUGUAUGGUAAGUGGGGAGGUACUGCGGGCAUAGGAUCAGAAAAUGCCUUGGGUUGGAAGGGACCUCGAAGACUCUGGGAGGUACACUUCUAUCCAGCAAGUGGCAGGUGAUGGCUCAUGGUGGCAGCCUGUGCCUCCUGGCGAGGGCACUGGGAGGGCUUCUUCGCUUGGGCUCCGAAAAGGGAGAGCUCUGUUACUCGGAGUUGCAUUUAGGUGGUGCUAGAGAGUAAAUAAUUAAAACCUCUGCAGCUGAGGUGUGCAAAUGGGGAGCUGGAAGAAAUCUGUCCCUAAAAUAUUUAGUGAGAAGGUGAGAACGUUGACACUGCACAACAGGGCACAUCUCACAGGACAUGACAGACCCGCAAGGUUUAAGGGAAUGGGCUCUUAAGUCAUCCUGACCUUUUAGUACUUUCUCAAAACCUGAUUAGAAGAAUAAGAGACUCUUGGGUUUUGACCAGUGACAAAAUCCCUGCCUGACACUCUCACCAGAGAGGUACGAUGAGUGUGGUGGUCCAAAUAAAACUUCACAGACCCAGACCUGACUUAUGUGCUCUCUCACCUACAACAGCAGAGCAGGGGCAGUGAGUGCAGCCUCUGCUGUACAUCACCUCCUGAACCUUCCGAAUUCCAAACCAACCCAAUUCUCC